AGAGUUUGAUCCUGGCUCAGAACGAACGCUGGCGGCGUGCCUAACACAUGCAAGUCGAACGGAGAUACGAUUUCGGUUGUAUCUUAGUGGCGAACGGGUGAGUAACGCGUGAGCAACCUGACUCUUAGAGGGGGAUAACACUCGGAAACGGGUGCUAAUACCGCAUAAGACCACGACAUGGCAUCAUGACGAGGUCAAAGGAGCAAUCCGCUGAGAGAGGGGCUCGCGUCCCAUUAGAUAGAUGGCGGGGUAACGGCCCACCAUGUCCGCGAUGGGUAGCCGAGCUGAGAGGCUGAUCGGCCACACUGGAACUGAGACACGGUCCAGACUCCUACGGGAGGCAGCAGUGGGGAAUUUUGCGCAAUGGGCGAAAGCCUGACGCAGCAACGCCGCGUGGGUGAUGAAGGUCUUCGGAUCGUAAAACCCUGUCGUCAGGGACGAAGGUUGCAUGUCUAAUAGAUGUGUAACUUGACGGUACCUGGAGAGGAAGCCCCGGCUAACUCUGUGCCAGCAGCCGCGGUAAUACAGAGGGGGCAAGCGUUAUUCGGAAUUAUUGGGCGUAAAGGGCGCGUAGGCGGUGUCUUAAGUGAGAUGUGUAAUCCCCGAGCUUAACUUGGGAACUGCAUCUCAGACUGGGGCGCUAGAGUGCUGGAGAGGGUGGUAGAAUUCCACGUGUAGCGGUGAAAUGCGUAGAGAUGUGGAGGAAUACCAGUGGCGAAGGCGGCCACCUGGACAGUAACUGACGCUGAGGCGCGAAAGUGUGGGGAGCAAACAGGAUUAGAUACCCUGGUAGUCC
This 796-nucleotide ribosomal RNA is filed under the name uncultured bacterium. Its description in RNAcentral is "bacterial SSU rRNA". It matches the Rfam family "Bacterial small subunit ribosomal RNA", at positions 8 to 796 of the family's 1533-position model. The record is from RNAcentral.